GCUGGUUCUUCCAGGAGCGCGCAUGAGCGGACGCUGCCUACUGGUGGCCGGGCGGGAUGUAACCGGCUGCUGAGCUGGCAGUUCUGUGUCGCUAGGCUUCUGCCCGGCCGCCGCCGCACAUAAGCCACGAGGAGGAGCUUUACGACUUCCCGGUCUUCGGCGCCGGGCGCAGCAAGGGCCAGACUCUGCGCUAGCAGGCGCUGCGCGCCAACCGGCCGGCACCUGUCGCAGAAGGUGCAACCGAUCGCACUGUCGCGCAGAAGCUCCUCAAUGGCCAGCGCCAGCUGCAGCCCCGGCCGCCCACUCGCCUCAUCUGAGCCUGGGCAAAUCUGGAUUGGGAAAGUUGACAUUAAUCAACUCAUUAUUCCUCACAGAUUUGUAUUCUCCAGAGUAUCCAGGUCCUUCUCAGAGAAUUAAAAAGCCUGUACAGGUCUAGAUAUUGGUAUUUUUAAUUGAUGAUAAGCUGGAAUAAUAUUAAUACACACAAAGCACGUGUUGUAACUUUCAUUAUGCUUCCUUAGAGCUCUGUUCACGGAAAGGGCCUGGGAGCUGCAACACCUCAACAGCAACAAGCACACCUGCUACCUAGAACUUGGUUUCUAAAAACCAUCCUCCUCUAAAAGGAAACAGAGCUCUUUGAAGAAACGCAGAAGGUAAGCAUGAGCAAAUUACUUUUUAGAGGUAACUUUGCUGAACUUGUGAAGAAUGGUGUGCAAGGUCCAGAGCGACUGCAGGAGAGGGAAGGUGGGAUUCCCACAGAGCAGGAGCACAGAUAAGCCAAGCAAGGCCCUGCUUGGAAGGCAGCAAUCAACAGAGAUGCACAGACCUGUGAGGGUGCCGGGACAGCCAUGCAACAAUGCAGCCCUUUUGCUUCCUGAGCUCACCAGUUCCCUCGCUCCACCUCUGAGAGGUGGUUUGGAGAAACACAGCCCUUCUCAAGAGGGCUGCAAGAGCAGACCACAAAGAGCAUGUCUGGACCUAGAACCACAGCAUGUAACCUCGGAAGCAGUGAGACACCAGCCAGCAUGGACAAGCAGCAGGCACUUGCUCUAUACCAGAUAGGUCCCACCUCCAGCCUUCCCCUGCUGCCAUCUAACAUCCUAAACUCCAGCUCUGAAUGUCUGUCUCCU
This 1130-nucleotide long non-coding RNA is filed under the name Homo sapiens (human). RNAcentral describes it as "HSALNT0289601". Lineage: Eukaryota; Metazoa; Chordata; Mammalia; Primates; Hominidae. The record is from RNAcentral.